RNAcentral lists this ribosomal RNA (467 nucleotides) under uncultured bacterium. Its description in RNAcentral is "partial 16S ribosomal RNA". It matches the Rfam family "Bacterial small subunit ribosomal RNA", at positions 28 to 507 of the family's 1533-position model. The record is from RNAcentral.
GACGAACGCUGGCGGCGUGCUUAACACAUGCAAGUCGAACGGAAAGGCCUCUUUCGGGGGGUACUCGAGUGGCGAACGGGUGAGUAACACGUGAGUAACCUGCCCUUGACUUUGGGAUAACUUCAGGAAACUGGGGCUAAUACCGGAUAGGAGCUCCUGCUGCAUGGUGGGGGUUGGAAAGUUUCGGCGGUUGGGGAUGGACUCGCGGCUUAUCAGCUUGUUGGUGGGGUAGUGGCUUACCAAGGCUUUGACGGGUAGCCGGCCUGAGAGGGUGACCGGCCACAUUGGGACUGAGGUACGGCCCAGACUCCUACGGGAGGCAGCAGGGGGGAAUAUUGCACAAUGGGUGGAAGCCUGAUGCAGCAACGCCGUGUGCGGGAUGACGGCCUUAGGGUUGUAAACCGCUUUCGCUCAUGACGAAGCUUUGUGUGACGGUAGUGGGUAAAGAAGCACCGGCUAACUACGUG